RNAcentral lists this ribosomal RNA (437 nucleotides) under uncultured bacterium. RNAcentral describes it as "partial 16S ribosomal RNA". It matches the Rfam family "Bacterial small subunit ribosomal RNA", at positions 29 to 507 of the family's 1533-position model. The record is from RNAcentral.
AGCGAACGCUGGCGGCAGGCUUAACACAUGCAAGUCGAGCGGGCAUCCUUGUGGUGUCAGCGGCAGACGGGUGAGUAACGCGUGGGAACGUGCCCUUCGGUUCGGAAUAACUCAGGGAAACUUGAGCUAAUACCGGAUACGUGCGAGAGCAGAAAGGUUUAUCUGCCGAAGGAUCGGCCCGCGUCUGAUUAGCUAGUUGGUGAGGUUAUGGCUCACCAAGGCGACGAUCAGUAGCUGGUCUGAGAGGAUGAUCAGCCACACUGGGACUGAGACACGGCCCAGACUCCUACGCGAGGGAGCAGUGGGGAAUAUUGGACGAUGGGGGCAACCCUGAUCCAGCCAUGCCGCGUGAGUGAUGACGGCGUUAGGGUUGUGAAGCUCUUUUCUUCGGGACGAUAAUGACGGUACCGGAGGAAUAAGCCCCGGCUAACUUCGUG